This 352-nucleotide ribosomal RNA is filed under the name uncultured Racocetra. Its description in RNAcentral is "SSU rRNA". It matches the Rfam family "Eukaryotic small subunit ribosomal RNA", at positions 569 to 929 of the family's 1831-position model. The record is from RNAcentral. Lineage: Eukaryota; Fungi; Glomeromycota; Glomeromycetes; Diversisporales; Gigasporaceae.
AGCAGCCGCGGUAAUUCCAGCUCCAAUAGCGUAUAUUAAAGUUGUUGCAGUUAAAAAGCUCGUAGUUGAAUUUCGGGGUUCUACCGUUGGUCGGGCUUUGUCUGUACUGGCGUGUAGAAUUUCUACCUUCUGGGGAACCAUCAUGUUAUUAAUUUAACGUGGUAGGAAACCAGGACCUUUACCUUGAAAAAAUUAGAGUGUUCAAAGCAGGCUUAUGUCUGAAUACAUUAGCAUGGAAUAAUAAAAUAGGACGGUGGUCCUGUUUUGUUGGUUUCUGAAUCACCGUAAUGAUUAAUAGGGAUAGUUGGGGGCAUUAGUAUUCAAUUGUCAGAGGUGAAAUUCUUGGAUUUAU